Molecule: long non-coding RNA, 432 nt
Filed under: Homo sapiens (human)
Lineage: Eukaryota; Metazoa; Chordata; Mammalia; Primates; Hominidae
Description: HSALNT0298433
Source: RNAcentral
CAGGCUUUCAACCUUGACCAGAGGUUUUCAUAAUGAAUGCAGCAUCCCUGGGGAGUGAUCUGAAGCUGGCGAGGCAAUGAGAACACCCUGGCAGGGCAGCUGAGCUGGGUGGAUCCUUGUUCUGUCACCAAGCCUUUAAGUCAUAUGCUGACAUGUUACAGUCCUGCCUGGGACCCUGCCCACAAAUACUUAAGAUACACGACUUUGGGAAUCACCCAACUGAUGGAAAGAACCAGGAAAGGGGUCAGGAUCUGCACCUUGGCAAACUUUGAAGAACACCCAAUUUGAUGAAUGAAAACUCCUCACUUGUGCUCUGGUGGUGUUUUAGGACAAUGGGCCCCUCCUGGAUGCUCCAGUGAAGCCCCAUAUCACCUUUUUCCUUCCUGUUUGCCAUAGCUCCAGAAGUUAAAAGCACAUAUUCAAAAGACAGGU